UACGGAGGAUGCAAGCGUUAUCCGGAUUCAUUGGGUUUAAAGGGUGCGUAGGCGGACUAUUAAGUCAGUGGUGAAAGCCUGCAGCUUAACUGCAGAACUGCCAUUGAUACUGAUAGUCUUGAGUUUGGUUAAGGUAGGCGGAAUGUGUAAUGUAGCGGUGAAAUGCCUAGAUAUUACACAGAACACCAAUUGCGUAGGCAGCUUACUGAGCCGACACUGACGCUGAGGCACGAAAGCGUGGGGAUCGAACAGGA
RNAcentral lists this ribosomal RNA (254 nucleotides) under uncultured prokaryote. Its description in RNAcentral is "partial 16S ribosomal RNA". It matches the Rfam family "Bacterial small subunit ribosomal RNA", at positions 524 to 777 of the family's 1533-position model. The record is from RNAcentral.